UGGGGAAUUUUGGACAAUGGGCGCAAGCCUGAUCCAGCCAUGCCGCGUGCGGGAAGAAGGCCUUCGGGUUGUAAACCGCUUUUGUCAGGGAAGAAAUCUUCUGGGUUAAUACCUCGGGAGGAUGACGGUACCUGAAGAAUAAGCACCGGCUAACUACGUGCCAGCAGCCGCGGUAAUACGUAGGGUGCAAGCGUUAAUCGGAAUUACUGGGCGUAAAGCGUGCGCAGGCGGUUUUGUAAGACAGAGGUGAAAUCCCCGGGCUCAACCUGGGAACUGCCUUUGUGACUGCAAGGCUUGAGUGCGGCAGAGGGGGAUGGAAUUCCGCGUGUAGCAGUGAAAUGCGUAGAUAUGCGGAGGAACACCGAUGGCGAAGGCAAUCCCCUGGGCCUGCACUGACGCUCAUGCACGAAAGCGUGGGGAGCAAACA
RNAcentral lists this ribosomal RNA (427 nucleotides) under uncultured bacterium. RNAcentral describes it as "bacterial SSU rRNA". It matches the Rfam family "Bacterial small subunit ribosomal RNA", at positions 355 to 774 of the family's 1533-position model. The record is from RNAcentral.